RNAcentral lists this microRNA (22 nucleotides) under Sarcophilus harrisii (Tasmanian devil). RNAcentral's name for it is "Sha-Mir-208-P2_5p* (star (passenger))". Lineage: Eukaryota; Metazoa; Chordata; Mammalia; Dasyuromorphia; Dasyuridae. The record is from RNAcentral.
AAGCUUUUGGCUCGGGUUAUAC